UAAAUACAACAAUGUCCGCCAGAGAACUACAAGUGAAAAACUCAAAACUCCAAGGACUUGGCGGUGCUCCACACCAGCCUAGAGGAGCCUGUCCUAUAAUCGAUACCCCACGUUGAACCUCACCCCCUUUUGCCAUUCAGCCUAUAUACCGCCGUCGUCAGCUUACCUUAUGAAAGAAGAAUAGUAGGCAAAACAGUUAACAACAAACACGUCAGGUCAAGGUGUAGCAUAUAAGGUGGAAGAGAUGGGCUACAUUUUCUGUCACAGAACACACGAAUGACACAAUGAAACAAGAAUCUAAAGGCGGAUUUAGUAGUAAGGUGGAUGAGCAACACCACCUUAAACCCGCUCUGGAGCGCGCACACACCGCCCGUCACCCUCAUCCC
RNAcentral lists this ribosomal RNA (386 nucleotides) under Paracontias fasika. RNAcentral's name for it is "partial 12S ribosomal RNA". It matches the Rfam family "Bacterial small subunit ribosomal RNA", at positions 852 to 1409 of the family's 1533-position model. The record is from RNAcentral. Lineage: Eukaryota; Metazoa; Chordata; Lepidosauria; Squamata; Scincidae.